Non-coding RNA from Rattus norvegicus (Norway rat), 701 nucleotides. The record is from the annotation of a RefSeq genome assembly. NCBI's taxonomy places the organism in Eukaryota, Metazoa, Chordata, Mammalia, Rodentia, Muridae.
UUUGUAUUCAGUCCCAGACAGGACACAGGGCAGUCAAGAUGGCUCCAGUUCAACUUUUAGGAUUUUUGCUGUUCUGCCUCCCAGCCAUGAGAUGUGACAUCCAGAUGACCCAGUCUCCUUCACUCCUGUCAGCAUCUGUGGGAGACAGAGUCACUCUCAGCUGCAAAGCAAGUCAGAGUAUUUACAACAGCUUAGCCUGGUAUCAGCAAAAACUUGGAGAAGCUCCCAAACUCCUGAUAUAUAAAACAAACAGUUUGCAAACGGGCAUCCCGUCAAGCUUCAGUGGCAGUGGAUCUGGUACAGAUUACACACUCACCAUCAGCAGCCUGCAACCUGAAGAUGUUGCCACAUAUUUCUGCCAGAAGUAUAACAGCGGGUCCCACGGUGAUACAAACCAUAGCAUAAACCACCCAGAGAUGCAGAUGUGUGAGGUUGGGUUUUCACAGCUGUUCUUUUGGUCCCAUUACUGACAUAAUGUUCCAGAUGUAGCCAGGCUUUGAAGAAUUUGAAUGGUUUGGGUAUCAGAGGCCCAUGAGAUUGCUCUGUACUGCAUAUGCUUCAAUAGUACGAACAAUACUUAUUCUCUGUAGACUUCAUGAACUAUUGUGGUCAUUUUAUCUGAGGAAUCUAUGUGAUAUUCUCAGAUGGAAUUGUUAUAUAGCAAAAUGUAAACUUAGAUGAUACAAACAAUGUUUGGUGUU